ACUCCCAAAAAAAAAAACUAACGAUAAGUUGAACUUCAAAUUCCCGCCCUAUGUACAGACCCGCUAACCUGUGCCAAAAAAAAACCCUAUCGAUACUUAUUAAUAUCGAUGGUUCAGCCCAGGAACAGCUGUGCUAGACCGAGACCAUUCACAAUGGACUCCCUGCCUAUUGAUAACUUAUUUGCUGCUACGCAAAUAAAUAAAUAAAAGACUCAAUAACCAGACAUGUAAGGGUGAGAUGGGGAUCCUCAGUAUGACGCUGCACCACGGCACGCUGUCACUGCAGAAGGUGCCUACUAAAACUCAAAUCCUGCUUGGGCUAUGGCGAAUUGCUGCUCCCAUGCUCUGCUACGUAGGGCAACGAUGCUCCUUCCGCUUGGGACAGGACAUGGACCUACUACGCAACCAUACAUAAGAAAUACCAAAUAACCACAAAAAAAAAGACAUUACUCUCGAUCUUUUCAGCCUCGGAACACCCUGUAGGGCAACAAUGAGUGGGCACCAAGACCCCUCACGGACCUGCUACACUCGCUCCUUCGCUGCACCUAUUCUGCUGGUUACCAGGGCUCAGGGGCCGCCAGCAGCUAUCGCUGUGGAAAGUUACAUUGAAACACUAAAUAAAGAACAAACAAUAUCAAUAACAAAACUGCACCGCUCAAUACACCUUACACAUUUCUGCAAUUGUACAGAACCAAAUUAAAUAAAAAUAUCUCAUACUUGAAAA
Long non-coding RNA from Scaptodrosophila lebanonensis, 724 nucleotides. RefSeq lists it as uncharacterized. Lineage: Eukaryota; Metazoa; Arthropoda; Insecta; Diptera; Drosophilidae. The record is from RefSeq and is a predicted model, not a curated record. The transcript is spliced from 4 exons.